RNAcentral lists this long non-coding RNA (1028 nucleotides) under Mus musculus (house mouse). Its description in RNAcentral is "long non-coding RNA chr10:127394169-127395197". The record is from RNAcentral. Lineage: Eukaryota; Metazoa; Chordata; Mammalia; Rodentia; Muridae.
GAAUGGAAUAUGGAGUGUAAAAAAUGAAUUACAAAUAAAAUUAAAUUAAAAAUUAAAAAGAUUUAUUUUUUAUGUAUAUGAGUACACUGCAGCUGUCUUCAGACACACCAGAAGAGGGCAUCUAGUCCCAUUAAAGAUGGUUGUGAACUAUCACAUGGUUGCUGGAAAUUGAACUUAUUAGGACCUUUGGCAGAGCACUCAGUGCUCUUAACCACUGAGCCAUCUCUCCAGCCCAGAAGUAGAAGUAUUUUAUACUUACUCUCGCUCUCUUUUUUAAAAAAGAUUUAUUUAUUUAUUUAUUUUAUGUAUACGGGUACACUGUAGUUGUACAGAUGGUUAUGAGCCUUCAUGUGCUUGUUAGGAAUUGAAUUUUUAGGACCUCUGCUCGCUCCAGUUGACCCUGCUUGCUCUGGCCCAAAGAUUUACUUAUAAGUACACUGUAGCUGUCUUCAGACAUAGCAGAAGAGAGCGUCAGAUCUCAUUCCAGAUGGGUUGUGAGCUACCAUGUGGUUGCUGAGAUUUGAACUCAGGACCUCUGGAAGAGCAGUCAGUGCUCUUACCUGCUGAGCCAUCUCUCCAGCCCUAUACUUACUCCUCUGCCAAGUAGAAUAUUAAAAAGACAUGAGUGUGAGCUAGAGCACGGCUGUGGGGUGAAGAGCACGUGUUCAUGAGUGUGAGCUGGAGCACGGCUGUGGGUGAAGAGCACGUGUUCUUGCAGAACCUGGAUCUGAUUCCCAGGGCCCACAUGGAAGUUUACAGCUAUCCAUAACUCUAGCUCCAUGGCGCCUACAUUCUCUUCUGCUUUCUAUAAGCACCAGGCAUGCACAUUCACAGACUUACACUUAAGCAGAACACCCAUACAUUAAGUAAACAAGCAAACAAAGAAGCAGUGCUUCUUAAAGAAAGGUGUGAAUAUGUUUGAUGUGAUGGUUUAUGUCUGUAAUCACGCUGCUUGAGAGGCUGAGGCAGGAGGAUUACUGUGCAUUCCAGGAUAGCUUGGGUAACUGUUUCAAACAGUCAGAGGGGGU